RNAcentral lists this ribosomal RNA (494 nucleotides) under uncultured bacterium. RNAcentral describes it as "partial 16S ribosomal RNA". It matches the Rfam family "Bacterial small subunit ribosomal RNA", at positions 28 to 523 of the family's 1533-position model. The record is from RNAcentral.
GAUGAACGCUGGCGGCGUGCUUAACACAUGCAAGUCGAACGGGAAACAUUUUGUUGAAGCUUCGGCGGAUUUAGCUUGUUUCUAGUGGCGGACGGGUGAGUAACGCGUGGGUAACCUGCCUUAUACCGGGGGAUAACAGCCAGAAGUGGCUGCUAAUACCGCAUAAGCGCACGGAGCCGCAUGGCUCUGUGUGAAAAACUCCGGUGGUAUAAGAUGGACCCGCGUUGGAUUAGCUAGUUGGCAGGGCAGCGGCCUACCAAGGCGACGAUCCAUAGCCGGCCUGAGAGGGUGAACGGCCACAUUGGGACUGAGACACGGCCCAGACUCCUACGGGAGGCAGCAGUGGGGAAUAUUGCACAAUGGGGGAAACCCUGAUGCAGCGACGCCGCGUGAAGGAAGAAGUAUCUCGGUAUGUAAACUUCUAUCAGCAGGGAAGAUAAUGACGGUACCUGACUAAGAAGCCCCGGCUAACUACGUGCCAGCCGCCGCAGUAA